GGGAGCCAAUUUUCCUUUGAUCCCAAACCGUUGUACACCCUUAGUCGGUGAGACUCGGAGGUAUACAUGAUCACCAAUGUCAAACUGUAAGGGCCUUCUCCUUUUGUCAAAAUAGCUUUUCUGUCAUGAUUGGGCGGCUUUAAGAUUUGCCUGAAUUAUUUUAACUUGCUCUUCGGCUUCAACUACUAGAUCAGGCCUGUAGGUUUGUCUUUCUCCUGCUUGUGACCAA
This 229-nucleotide long non-coding RNA is filed under the name Setaria italica (foxtail millet). RNAcentral's name for it is "long non-coding RNA (SITA_LNC005653)". Lineage: Eukaryota; Viridiplantae; Streptophyta; Magnoliopsida; Poales; Poaceae. The record is from RNAcentral.